UCUAGAACUCGAGAUAUGGGCUGAACACUGAACAGUGUCUAGGCUAUAGGACAAAUUCUGACUUCUCUUUUGUUGCUACAAUUUGAACUUGAAAACGGCCGUUGUGAAUCUUGGACUCUUCAUGAAAGUUUUAGACCUAUGUCUUAGCUUUCUAUU
This 156-nucleotide microRNA precursor is filed under the name Populus trichocarpa (black cottonwood). RNAcentral's name for it is "MIR2912 microRNA precursor family". It matches the Rfam family "MIR2912 microRNA precursor family". The record is from Rfam by way of RNAcentral. Lineage: Eukaryota; Viridiplantae; Streptophyta; Magnoliopsida; Malpighiales; Salicaceae.